This 301-nucleotide ribosomal RNA is filed under the name uncultured bacterium. RNAcentral describes it as "partial 16S ribosomal RNA". It matches the Rfam family "Bacterial small subunit ribosomal RNA", at positions 509 to 807 of the family's 1533-position model. The record is from RNAcentral.
CAGUCGCCGCGGGAAUACGAAGGGUGCAAGCGUUAAUCGGAAUUACUGGGCGUAAAGCGUGCGUAGGCGGUGAGUUAAGUCUGCUGUGAAAUCCCCGGGCUCAACCUGGGAAUGGCAGUGGAUACUGGCUCGCUAGAGUGUGUCAGAGGAUGGUGGAAUUCCCGGUGUAGCGGUGAAAUGCGUAGAGAUCGGGAGGAACAUCAGUGGCGAAGGCGGCCAUCUGGGACAACACUGACGCUGAGGCACGAAAGCGUGGGGAGCAAACAGGGUUAGAUACCCCCGUAGUCCCUGUCUCUUAUAC